Molecule: long non-coding RNA, 155 nt
Organism: Rosa chinensis
Lineage: Eukaryota; Viridiplantae; Streptophyta; Magnoliopsida; Rosales; Rosaceae
Exons: 3
Source: RefSeq, a predicted model, not a curated record
AUCAGCAAUCAUUUGCGAAUUCGUGACAAGGGAACUCAUACUAUGCUCCAAGCAGAUCUAGUUGAGCACUUGUGGCAACGUCACUUGGCUAAUAUCAAUAAUUGAGGGUGUACAGCAAUGAGAGGUGAAGGAGCUAUUGCAGUAUUGGACGCUGC